RNAcentral lists this ribosomal RNA (254 nucleotides) under uncultured bacterium. RNAcentral's name for it is "partial 16S ribosomal RNA". It matches the Rfam family "Bacterial small subunit ribosomal RNA", at positions 524 to 776 of the family's 1533-position model. The record is from RNAcentral.
UACGUAGGGGGCGAGCGUUGUCCGGAAUUACUGGGCGUAAAGGGCGCGUAGGCGGUUUAUUAAGUCUCUAGGUGAAAACUAUCGGCUCAACCGGUAGCCUGCCUGAGAAACUGGUAGACUUGAGGGCAGGAGAGGGGAGUGGAAUUCCCAGUGUAGCGGUGAAAUGCGUAGAUAUUGGGAGGAACACCAGUGGCGAAGGCGGCUCUCUGGCCUGUUACUGACGCUGAGGCGCGAAAGCGUGGGGAGCGAACGGG